This 497-nucleotide ribosomal RNA is filed under the name uncultured bacterium. RNAcentral's name for it is "partial 16S ribosomal RNA". It matches the Rfam family "Bacterial small subunit ribosomal RNA", at positions 28 to 507 of the family's 1533-position model. The record is from RNAcentral.
GAUGAACGCUGGCGGCGUGCCUAAUACAUGCAAGUCGAGCGAACAGAUGAGGAGCUUGCUCCUCUGACGUUAGCGGCGGACGGGUGAGUAACACGUGGAUAACCUACCUAUAAGACUGGGAUAACUUCGGGAAACCGGAGCUAAUACCGGAUAAUAUAUUGAACCGCAUGGUUCAAUAGUGAAAGACGGUUUUGCUGUCACUUAUAGAUGGAUCCGCGCCGCAUUAGCUAGUUGGUAAGGUAACGGCUUACCAAGGCAACGAUGCGUAGCCGACCUGAGAGGGUGAUCGGCCACACUGGAACUGAGACACGGUCCAGACUCCUACGGGAGGCAGCAGUAGGGAAUCUUCCGCAAUGGGCGAAAGCCUGACGGAGCAACGCCGCGUGAGUAAUGAAGGUCUUCGGAUCGUAAAACUCUGUUAUUAGGGAAGAACAAAUGUGUAAGUAACUAUGCACGUCUUGACGGUACCUAAUCAGAAAGCCACGGCUAACUACGUG